CCUAUGGGAGGCAGCAGUGGGGAAUAUUGGACAAUGGGGGGAACCCUGAUCCAGCGACGCCGCGUGAGUGAAGAAGUAUUUCGGUAUGUAAAGCUCUAUCAGCAGGGAAGAAAAUGACGGUACCUGACUAAGAAGCCCCGGCUAACUACGUGCCAGCAGCCGCGGUAAUACGUAGGGGGCAAGCGUUAUCCGGAUUUAUUGGGUUUAAAGGGUGCGUAGGCGGGCUGUUAAGUCAGCGGUCAAAUGUCGGGGCUCAACCCCGGCCUGCCGUUGAAACUGGCGGCCUCGAGUGGGCGAGAAGUAUG
This 305-nucleotide ribosomal RNA is filed under the name uncultured bacterium. RNAcentral's name for it is "bacterial SSU rRNA". It matches the Rfam family "Bacterial small subunit ribosomal RNA", at positions 338 to 661 of the family's 1533-position model. The record is from RNAcentral.